Long non-coding RNA from Alexandromys fortis (reed vole), 763 nucleotides. RefSeq lists it as uncharacterized. The transcript has 4 exons. The record is from RefSeq and is a predicted model, not a curated record. Lineage: Eukaryota; Metazoa; Chordata; Mammalia; Rodentia; Cricetidae.
UGUACCUUUACAGAAGAGAUUAAGUCCCCAGGGCUUUGUCCCCAUGAGAGGAAAAUGUCCAUGUCGGGUGAGUUUGUUAUGCUGAAAGUCCUCUCGCCUUCUGCUGCAGCGUGACACAGCAAGAAGGUUGUCCCCAGUGGACGCUGUCACCCAGACGUUUACUUCAAGAGUGGUCAUCCUUUCCAGUGUCCCCCAGGAACUGCCCCUUGACCUCACGGUGGCUCAUUAGUGACCCCAUGAAGACAGUAGCCUCUCUAUCGACACAGCCGUAUGAAUGGCCACACGUGAGAAAUUGAAGAAAGAAAUGGAUCACUGUAUCUGCAGGAAGACGGAUCCGAUGAGAAUCAGCAUGAGAAGCAAACCAAGGGAUGCCGCACUGGAAGGGGGCUCAGCCUUGGAGCUCUCACAGCCAGACUUUCCUGAGGACUGGGGUGAGGGUGUCACUUAGGCCGGGACACCAACUCACCCAAGCAGCUGAUGUAUAAACUGGAAGCCUGUUUAUGAACUGAGGGAUCCUCUCCUGGUGUUCCCAAUCGAGCUGGAGAGCUGCUGACAGGUUCUCCCACUGAUUGCCUUUUUAUAUCUUGCGAACAGAGCGCAGCCAUGGCUUCAGAAGCCAGGGAACAAUCCACUGCUCAGCUGGGUUUCAGGGCUGGCAUACACCCUGAAUACGAAUUAGAGGCAAGGUCUUAGAGAGAAUAGGUCCUAAUUAGGUUUCGUGUCUUUCUACGGAGCCACCCAGCCCUUUGUUCCCACCUGGGAU